Molecule: long non-coding RNA, 1358 nt
Filed under: Homo sapiens (human)
Lineage: Eukaryota; Metazoa; Chordata; Mammalia; Primates; Hominidae
Description: HSALNT0124987
Source: RNAcentral
UAUCUGGUAACUUCUCUCUCAAAACUACAUCUCCCUGUACAUUCAGUAACAGCUGUUUUCCCCUUGUGCUUUCACUCUAGAGAUUAUAAUAGGUUCCAGCUGUUGCUAAUCUCUGCGUGCUUCACCAUGUUUUUGUACUUCCUUAAUUCUUCCCACUCUUUUUAAAUAAUGCCUAAUCAUUUCUUAAGUUACCUGUUUGAGGCUACCAUUUUCUAUCAGAAGGCCAGCAAAUAGAGAAGGUCUCACGGAGAUAUGAGAAGCCAUCAUUUAAUUUCCUUCAAAAUGCAAAUCGCUGGUGAAGACAGCCAUCAAAUCAUGGACUAACUUUUGAAUUCAGGCAACCACUAUUUCACUCUUCGAAUCUAUGAAAUUGACCAUUUUUGAUAUCUCAUGUAGUCAAAUGAGGAAACAUCCUACCUGAUGGAGAGAACUGCGUGUGACCCAGAGAUCCUGGAUUUUAUUCAUUUGUUGAGACUUUGAAUCAUCUAUGGGGAGGAGCUGAAUAUGUUCUACACGUGGAAAAAAAUGGUAUGCACAGAUACUUGAAAUGCCAGAAGAAUGGCCUGUAACAGGGCUUCAAUAUGCAUUUCCUCCUCCUUCCUUCUAGUAAGAGUCCUCAAGACUGCCCUGCCAGAAACUAUACUUUUCAGUUUCUCCUGUCAUGAUGUAGCCAUGUGAUCAAAUUCUAGUAGAUAGGAUGUGAGCAAAAGUGAUAUAUGCAUGACUCUUCAAUCACUCUUGUUGCCUUCUACUAAUUUUCCUGUCUUCUUUUGGCCUCAAAAGUUUUACGGUGGUAUUGAGCCCAUUUUAAUCAGACAGAUGAGGACAACAACCUAAGGAAUGGCAGAUAGCUGAAACCUCAGUUGCUGGACAACAUCAUGGACCAGGGUUACCCUAAGCACUGAUUUACCUAUUCGGUAGGAAUUUUUCCUCCGAGUAUUUUUUAAAUGUUUCCUUUGUUAUAUAUUAUUAAGUAAUUGAAUCAGUACCUUGAUACAGGUCAGGACUUUUCUCAAUCAUGCCAACAUGGGUCAAGCAUUAAAGCUUUGAGAAUGCAAAGGAGGCAAAACCUUCAUGUGGUGUCUUGAAUAACUGAUGGAGUACAAUUGGAAUGUUCAUAAUACAAAGAGAUGAUGAACACUUGAGGUGAUGAAUACCCCACUCACCCUUAUGUGAUUAUUAGACAUUAUAUGCUUGUAUCAAAAUUAUAUACCUGCUAUGUGCCCAUAAAAAUUAAAAAUAAAAGUAAAAAACUUUUUAAAAGUCUGCUUCACUGUAUUGCUCUCAUUCCCAUGUAUUUUUAGGAGAGUAUUAUUUUGUCCCCAGGAAACUGCUUAUUGCUAUAUAAGACUUCUAGU